AUGGGUGGAGGUGAGGAGGAUGGGGGGAGGUGUGGAGGAGAAUCUCAGAUGCCAGUGGGUCAGGGUGCCUAUCACCAGGUGAGUGCCUGCAGCUGCCCUGGCUCGUGGCUUCCGUGGCCUGCAGGCUCUGCUGCUUUCUGGCAUUUGUGGGUGCCUUUAGCCUUGUCCACAGGAGGAGGCUGCUUCUGCAGAGCAGGGCCCCCGACAGGCCUUAGCAAACCCCUGAGGACCUUAGACUUGAGGACCCUCCACAAGGAAAGGUGGGGGCAGGGCUGGCCAGAGGGGCUCUUUGUGUAGCUCUUGCUGGGGGUGCCAGGCCCUCAACUGGAUGUGAGAAGGCGGCCCUGGGGCACAGCUGGGAUGGCUAUGCUGGGGCCGGCUCCAAGACCCCUCUGCCUUCGGGGACAGAGGACUCAGUGCAGAGGCCUGGCCUUGAAUCCAUGUGGCUUUUCUACAGGCUGUGGGUGAAGACCACCCAAGGAUUCUGGGUGAGCUCCAGACCGUGAGCUUCCGGUGGGUGAGGGGGCAGCAGCAGCGGCCACAUCUCAGGAGCCUGUCUAGGGCCCGUCCUCUCUGGUGGGUGAGGGGGGCAGCAGCGGCGGCCACAUCUCAGGAGCCUGUCUAGGGCCCGUCCUCUCUGGUGGGUGAGGGGGCAGGAGCGGCGACCACAUCUCAGGAGCCUGUUUAGGGCCUGUCCUCCAGAAAAGCAGGGGCAGAGACACGAGGCAGCAGCCCCCGGAGACCCUCCCACACGUGGCCAGCCAGCAGGCGGGGCCGCAUCAGCCUCCUGACAGGAGGGGUCCCGGAUGCAGCCUCGGUUCCUGGGCCCUGGAAGCUGCCUGGCGUGGCUUGACCAGGCUCAGCCAGGGAGGCAUUUCCAGAAAGCUUCCUUCUCGUCCCGAGAGCUGCCUGUGUUCUGUGCUCACCGGGCCUGCGGUCAGCACAGAAUGUGGUUUAGGGCCGCUGCUCUAGGGGCUGGGGAGGGUGAAACCUGCGUGACCAGUGGCACGAUGCAUCCUGCUACCUCCGGAGACUCCUUAAAGGGUGGUGAUGGCCGAGCAUGUGGAGGCCCUGAAGCGACCCAGCCCAUUCUGGGCGAGGAGGGGAACUGAACUCCCCAGGAGCGAGAAGUCCUGGGGCUGAGGCUGAGCUGAGUGGAGUCUGGAGCAGAGAGGAUUCGGGACAAUGACUCAGUGCCCAGCUGUGUUCCUGGAGCCUUGGCUGCUCCUCUGUGUGAACUGUGCUCAGUGGGCCAGUGUCAUGACCUGGAAAAGCUGCAACCCGAGAAAGGGAGCCAGCCCUGCCGUUCCCUAUUGUGCUGAGUGAGCUGCUGCAAACUCGCCACAGACUCACCCUGGAUCCUCUGAAACAAGGACCUUCUGUCCCCAGGACCUCUGUCCCAGGCUCUCUGUGCACCCAGGAUCCACCCAGACCACAGGAGCUGACAGUUGAGGCCACGUGCAGGACACUGGGGAAGAUGAGGGGCCCCUCUCACUUCCUCCUCCUCCUCUUCCUCCUCUGCCAGCUCCAGGUCUGUCCACCGCCUUCCCCUUAUCCCCACACUGCUGCAACCUCACCCUUCCCUCCACAUUCUUAUUAUCCAAGAGAGCAAGUAAAGCACAGUAUUUAGUUGAGUUUGUUUUUCAUUGAGAUAAAUUGGCGUGUAACAAAACUAAGAAUAAAAUCUAAUUAGUGAUAAUCCAUCAAUCAGGCUAACAUGUAAUCUGGAUUAGGGAACAUUGUAUCUUUGUCUGCAUCUUUGAAACAGACGACUUUCAUGCAUAUUUAUCAAUGAGAAAACCAGAUGCCAAUGUUUUUGCGAUGCUGUGGUGACUGACUGUACAAGACUCAUUUACAUUAACACAGUUACUGAGAAUGGAAUGUUAGUGAAUAAGAUUUCUUUUACAUAAAUGAAGAUGUCUUAAAAUCCUGUUACCCUGAAAGUUGACUCACUGAAUUCGCAUUUCAUGCAUCCAGAAAAGGCCAUGCCAGUGUAGCAGCACGAGCCACGGACAAAACUCCUCAGACACCGGUUUAAAGAAGGAAGAGGUUUAUUCGGCCGGGAGCGUCAGCAGACUUGCGUCUUAAGAGCCGAGCUCCCUGAAAAAGAAAUUCUUGGCCUUUUUAAAGCCUUACAACUCUGAGGGGUCCAUGUGAAAAGGUUGUGAUAAAUGAGCAGGCGUGGGGAACGUGACUAGGGGCUACGUGCAUCAGCUAACAGAACAGAAAGUUUUGCAAUGCUUUUUCAUACGAUGUCUGGAAUUUACAGAUAAUACAAGUAGUUUUAGUCACGGGGUUGAUGUUAUUAUUAUUUUUAAACUCCUAGGGCCGGGUGGUGCCGCCAAGGUUGUCUGGCUACUUAUCUUACUUUUGUUUCUUUCCAACUUUUUGCUUUCUCUCUUUCUUCCUGUCUUGUGAACUAGGCAAGGUGGGGGGAGGAGGGCAGUAGGAGUAGUAGUGGUCUCCUUCCUUACCAGGUGGACUCCUUCUGAACUUCAGCAGUGGUGACUGGUGGUUUCUGUAAUGAAAUUUCAGUUCGACCCUCAUCUGAGAUGAGAGAGUGUCUGAGAUGAGCGAGUGUCUGAGAUGAGAGAGUGUCUGGUAACACAAAGCUCAGGAACUGCACACGACCUCUCACGAAAGCUUAUGUCCAGCUUCCAUCUGGUGCCAGCCCACUCGAAGGGCAGCUAACUGUCACUAGGAAAGUCCUGUGGGCAGUAAGUGUUACGUAAGACGUAGAUUCGGUGAAGCCAGGCCCAUCACAUGACGAAAGCUUGUUAGAGUGGGUUUAUCUGUCAGAUUCUAGAUUCAUAGAUAGAAAAGGAGGAGACGUUUAUGUCUUCGGCCAUUAUAAAGAAUAAUUCUUAUAUGUUUUAAAAUUUUGGCUGUGUAUAUAAUUUAGAGAUCUACAUGUAGCUCUGUGUAAUCAAUACUGCGUAUCUAAUAUGUACUACAUAGAGAUAUAAGUAUUAUAUAAAUUAUAUAGAUCUAUGUAUUUAAAAUGUAGAUCUGUAGAGAGCUCUACAGGCGUACUUUGUGGUGUUUUGCUUGAUUUUGCUCCAUGGAUGUUGCUUUUUUUUGCAAAUCAUAGGUUUGUGGCAACCCACAUGGACCAAUUCCAUGGGCGCUGUUUUCCCAGCAGCGUGUGUUGGCUUCAUGGCUCUGGGUCACAUUUUGGUGAUUCUUGCCACAUUUCAAACGUUUUCAUUAUUAUUAUCUACAUAGUGGCAAUCUGUGAUCGGGGUCUUCAGUGUUACCAGUGUAAUUGUUUGGGGUGCUAUGAACUGCACCCAUACAAGACACAAACUUAAUAAAUGCUUGGUGUGUCCCGAGUGCCCCCCAUCAGCCGUUCCCCCACCUCUCUCCCUCUUCCCAAGCUUUCCUGUUCCCUGACACACGACAAUACUGAGAUUAACCCAGUCAGUAACCCUACCACAACUGCAGAGUGCUCAGGUGAAAGGAAGAGCCACCACAUCUCACUCUAAAUCAAAACCCAGAAAAGAUUUAACUUAGCAUAGGGCAUGUUGAAAGCUGCGACAGGCUGAAAGCUAAAGUGAGACUUGCACCAGUGAAGUAGCGAAGACAAAGGCAAAGUUCUUAAGGGAGGUCACAAGUGCUGUUCUAGAGAGUGCAUGGAUGAUGGGAAGUGAACCAGCCUUGUUGCUAAUACGGAGAAAGCUUUUAUGUUCUGGAUAGACAAUCAAAACAGCAACACCAUUCCCUUAAUCAAACCCUGGUCCAGAGCAGGGCCCUAACUUCAGUUCUGUGAAGGCUGAGAGAGGUGAGGAAGCUGCAGAAGAAGAGUGGAAGCUGGCAGCGGUGGGUGCGUGACGUUUAAGGAAAGAAGCGGUCUCCAUAACAUAAAAACACAAGGUGACGCGGCAGGUGCCGAUGGAGAAGCUGCAGCAAGUUACCCUCUGCAGCCAGAAGAUCUGGCUAAGAUCACUGAUGAAGGUGGCUGCGCUUAACAACAGAUUUUUCAAUGUAGAUAGAACAGCCGUCUGUUGGAAGAAGACGCCAUCUAGGACUGUCCUAGCUAGAGAGAAGUCAGUGCCUGGCUUCAGAGUUUCAAAGGACAGGCUGACGCUCUUGUUAGGAGCUGGUGUAGUGGUGACUUUGACUGGAAGCCAAUGCUUACAGACCAUUCUGAACAUCCCAGGGCCCCUAAAAUCAUGCUCAGUCUACUCUGCCUUGCUCUAUAGAUGCAAUGAGAAAACCUGGAUGUCAGCAAGUCUAUUUACAGCAUGAUUUACUGACUAUGUUAAGCCCACUCUUGAGAACUACUGCUCAGAAAAAGAGAUUCCUUUCAAAAUAUUACUGCUCACCGACAAUGCACCUGGUCACCCAAGAGCUCUGAUAGAAAUGAACAAGGAGAUUAAUGCUGUUUCCAUGCCUGCUAACACAACACCCAUUGCACAGCCCAAGGACUCGUUUCAACUUUCAAGCCCUAUAAUUUGAGAAAUACAUUUUUUAAGGCCGUAUCUGCCAUAGUUAGUGAUUCCUCUGAUGGAUUUGGGAAAAGUAAACUGUAAACCUUCUGGAAAGGAUUCACUAUUCUAGAUGCCACUAAGAACAUUCAUGAUUCAUGGGAGAAGGUCAAAGUGUCAACAUGAACAGGCGUUUGGAAGAGGUUCAGUCCCAUCCUCAUGGAUGACUUUGAGGGAUUCCAGCCUUCUGUGAAGGAAGUCACUGCAGAUGUGAUAGGAGUAGACGUGAGACCAAUUACUGCUGAAAUGCUUGGGAUAUGCUCCUUUUGUCUGAGAAAGUGGCUUGUCCUUGGGUGUAGCAAAGCACACACUUUGAGAGACAUUUUCCCAUGGCAGCCGGCAUUUAUUACACCGAUCAGGAGCCAUGCUUCGGGCGCCAGUGCAGCAACAGGGCAGCGUGCUGGCCAUGCCAACUCCGUCCCACGGCACAGGGCCAAUGGCUUCUGUGCCCCGGCACUCAGACAUGACCACAUGACUGCUCCUGCCUGGGAGGAUAGGGCAAGGAUGCCACGCUCCCCGGCACUCUCUGCCACCCCGCCACGUCCCCACUUGUCCACUGAGCCCCCAGCUCUGUCAUCCACAGCUGGACGCAGGGGCCCAGCCAGGGACUCCAAGGGGCCCCUAGAGGAAGGCAGCAUCUCAAGGCAGAGUCAGGCCCUGGGGAGAAACACACUUUUACCAUCCAGGGCCACAGAGCUCCUGGCUGUGAGUGAAACAGCACCUGGCCCUGGUGCAAACACGUGGGGCACGCAGAAACCCGCACACAGGGAAUUCACUGAAUUCUCACCCACGCGGUGGGCUGGGCCCUGCUCACCCCAGGUAAAAACCACAGGACCUGAGCUGACGGGAGUGCAGUGUGGGCUUCACCUGAGGGGGAGGCACAGAGGUUUCAACAACUCAGGGAGGUGGGCGUGCCUGGAAAUGCACUGGGAACAGCCUCGCCAGGAGUCAGAGGAACUUCCCCGUUACCAGCCUGGCCACAGCUCCACGCCCGGGCCCUCUGCUGUUUGCCAACUGUAAGUGGCCUCUACCCUCCUGAGCAGUUCAUGAGAAACAGGAAAAUCAUUUCCAGAAACAAAUUCAGAGUCAAACAGUUACCCAGAGUUCAACAUUUCAAGAAGUCGAACCUUGUACAUCACACUUUUUUUUUUUUUUUUUUUAAUGAAAGCAAUGCGUGCUAACCCUACAAAACUGGAAGAGGCAGCGAGAGAAAGGAAGACUGAAAACCAUGGCCACAGGCCUUCUGGGGCUUUCCUCUGUGUUUGCGUCUACUUGGGGUUGAGGUCGCACAGUUCUGCGUCCUUCAUUGUCACCUGGUAUUUUCUUAAGACGAUUCCAUGUCAUAAAAGUGCUGCAGAUGCAUAAUUUAAAGGACUGUAUUGUAUCA
Chlorocebus sabaeus (green monkey) is the source of this 5874-nucleotide long non-coding RNA. RefSeq lists it as uncharacterized. The record is from RefSeq and is a predicted model, not a curated record. NCBI's taxonomy places the organism in Eukaryota, Metazoa, Chordata, Mammalia, Primates, Cercopithecidae.